CAGUAGCCGCGGUAAUACGAAGGGUGCAAGCGUUAAUCGGAAUUACUGGGCGUAAAGCGUGCGUAGGCGGUGAGUUAAGUCUGCUGUGAAAUCCCCGGGCUCAACCUCGAAAUUGCGUCGGAUACUGCAUUGCUAGAGGAUUGUAGAGGAGAGUGGAAUUCAUGGUGUAGCAGUGAAAUGCGUAGAUAUCAUGAGGAAGACCAGUUGCGAAGGCGACUCUCUGGGCAAUUCCUGACACUGAGGCACGAAGGCUAGGGGAGCAAACGGGAUUAGAUACCCCGUAGUCCCUGUCUCUUAUACA
This 301-nucleotide ribosomal RNA is filed under the name uncultured bacterium. Its description in RNAcentral is "partial 16S ribosomal RNA". It matches the Rfam family "Bacterial small subunit ribosomal RNA", at positions 509 to 809 of the family's 1533-position model. The record is from RNAcentral.